UAUGUGAUCGUCUCUCGCAUAUCAAUAAGCGGAGGAAAAGAAACUAACAAGGAUUCCCCUAGUAACGGCGAGUGAAGCGGGAAGAGCUCAAAUUUGAAAUCUUCAAGGGUUCUACCUUUACGAAUUGUAGUUUAAAGAAGUGUUUUCUGUUGAGGUUUUGGUAAAAGUUCUUUGGAAUAGGACAUCAUAGAGGGUGAGAAUCCCGUAUUUGACCUUUACUUUCAACUUUGUGAUACACUUUCAAAGAGUCGGAUUGUUUGGGAAUGCAGUCCAAAAUGGGUGGUAAAUUUCAUCUAAAGCUAAAUAUUGGCGAGAGACCGAUAGCGAACAAGUACCGUGAGGGAAAGAUGAAAAGAACUUUGAAAAGAGAGUUAAACAGUACGUGAAAUUGUCAAAAGGGAAGCGUUUGACACCAGUGUUGUUUUUCUGAAAAUCAAUUAAAGAACUGUUUAUGCUAAGUUGUUUAGACUUUAUCAGCUAACUGUUUAGUUUUGAGCUUUUCUUUAAUGCACUUUUCAGUUAACAAGUCAACAUCAAUUUCUUUUGCUGUAAAAAAGCUUGAGGAAGGUGGCUUGAGAUUCGUCUUAAGUGUUUAUAGCCUCUUGCCUAUGCAGUCGGAGAGAUUGAGGUCUGCAGCGUAGAUCCUUCGGGGCUAAAUGCAUUUGUGCUAAGUUAUAGCAUUUUAUAGACAACUUGUUGACUAUGAUUUGUCUUGUAGCUUACUCGCUUAUGUUAUUUUACCUACGCUUAGGAUGUUGAUAUGCAUGACUGAUAU
Molecule: ribosomal RNA, 775 nt
Filed under: uncultured Neocallimastigales
Lineage: Eukaryota; Fungi; Neocallimastigomycota; Neocallimastigomycetes; Neocallimastigales
Description: partial large subunit ribosomal RNA
Rfam family: Eukaryotic large subunit ribosomal RNA
Source: RNAcentral